AUGAAAAUGUUGAGUUGGAACUGUCGAGGCUUGGGUCAGCCUCGUACAGUUCAAGAGUUGGUGUGCCUCUGUAAGACGCAUAGACCCAAUGUUAUCUUUUUAUUUGAAACAAGGAGAAAUAAAGAGUAUGUUGAGAGUUUGUGCUACAGGUUGGAUAUGAAUAAUGUGUUUACUGUUUCUGGCCAUGGUAAAGGUGGAGGACUAGCUGUGUUUUGGGGAGAUGGAACAAAGUGGAGGUGCACUUUCAUUUACGGUGACCCUAAGGCGAGCCAAAGGUACGUUAUGUGAGAUCUCUUGAGACGGUUAAAACCUCUUGGUGUAGGA
RNAcentral lists this ribosomal RNA (324 nucleotides) under Triticum aestivum (bread wheat). RNAcentral's name for it is "partial small subunit ribosomal RNA". Lineage: Eukaryota; Viridiplantae; Streptophyta; Magnoliopsida; Poales; Poaceae. The record is from RNAcentral.